UACGGGGGGGGCAAGCGUUGUUCGGAAUCACUGGGCGUAAAGCGCACGUAGGCGGAUCUUUAAGUCAGGGGUGAAAUCCCGGAGCUCAACUCCGGAACUGCCUUUGAUACUGGGGAUCUUGGAGUCCGGGAGAGGUGAGUGGAACUGCGAGUGUAGAGGUGAAAUUCGUAGAUAUUCGCAAGAACACCAGUGGCGAAGGCGGCUCACUGGCCCGGUACUGACGCUGAGGUGCGAAAGCGUGGGGAGCAAACAGG
This 254-nucleotide ribosomal RNA is filed under the name uncultured bacterium. RNAcentral's name for it is "partial 16S ribosomal RNA". It matches the Rfam family "Bacterial small subunit ribosomal RNA", at positions 524 to 776 of the family's 1533-position model. The record is from RNAcentral.